This 250-nucleotide ribosomal RNA is filed under the name uncultured bacterium. Its description in RNAcentral is "partial 16S ribosomal RNA". It matches the Rfam family "Bacterial small subunit ribosomal RNA", at positions 524 to 773 of the family's 1533-position model. The record is from RNAcentral.
UACGUAGGGGGCGAGCGUUAUCCGGAAUUACUGGGUGUAAAGGGUGCGUAGGCGGCAUGGUAAGUCAGAUGUGAAAACUUGGAGCUCAACUUCAAGAUUGCAUCUGAAACUGCUAAGCUAGAGUGCAGGAGAGGAAAGUGGAAUUCCGAGUGUAGCGGUGAAAUGCGUAGAGAUUCGGAGGAACACCAGUAGCGAAGGCGGCGAUCUGGGCUGACAUUGACGCUGAGGUGCGAAAGCGUGGGGAGCAAAC